GACGAACGCUGGCGGCGUGCUUAACACAUGCAAGUCGAACGGAAAGGCCCUGCUUUUGUGGGGUGCUCGAGUGGCGAACGGGUGAGUAACACGUUAGUACCCUGCCCUUGACUUUGGGAUAACUUCAGGAAACUGGGGCUAAUACCGGAUAGGAGCUCCUGCUGCAUGGUGGGGGUUGGAAAGUUUCGGUGGUUGGGGAUGGACUCGCGGCUUAUCAGCUUGUUGGUGGGGUAGUGGCUUACCAAGGCUUUGACGCGUAGCCGGCCUGAGAGGGUAACAGGCCAAACUGGGACUGAGAUGCGGCCCAGCCCCCUCCGGGAGGCAGCGGAGGGGAAGAUUGCACAAUAGGCGGGAGCCUGAUGCAGCAACGCCGCGUCGGGGAUGACGGCCAGCGGGUUGUAAUCCGCUUUCGCCUGUGACGAAGCGUGAGUGACGGUAAUAGGUAAAGAAGCACCGGCUAACUACGUG
RNAcentral lists this ribosomal RNA (468 nucleotides) under uncultured bacterium. RNAcentral's name for it is "partial 16S ribosomal RNA". It matches the Rfam family "Bacterial small subunit ribosomal RNA", at positions 28 to 507 of the family's 1533-position model. The record is from RNAcentral.